This 301-nucleotide ribosomal RNA is filed under the name uncultured bacterium. RNAcentral's name for it is "partial 16S ribosomal RNA". It matches the Rfam family "Bacterial small subunit ribosomal RNA", at positions 509 to 807 of the family's 1533-position model. The record is from RNAcentral.
CAGUAGCCGCGGGAAUACGUAGGUGGCAAGCGUUGUCCGGAAUUAUUGGGCGUAAAGGGCUCGCAGGCGGUUUCUUAAGUCUGAUGUGAAAGCCCUCGGCUCAACCGGGGAGGGUCAUUGGAAACUGGGAAACUUGAGUGCAGAAGAGGAGAGUGGAAUUCUACGUGUAGCGGUGAAAUGCGUAGAGAUGUGGAGGAACACCAGUGGCGAAGGCGACUCUCUGGUCUGUAACUGACGCUGAGGAGCGAAAGCGUGGGGAGCGAACAGGAUUAGAUACCCCAGUAGUCCCUGUCUCUUAUAC